UGGGAAACGGACGGAAAGGCCGGUGGGAAGGGUCUCAUCGGCUGCAGACUAUCAGCGCUUCUGCUGCUGCUGAAGUGGAAGAAAAAAGAGAAAGAGGAAAAGAAAAACCUCGCCUCGCAGUAUAUCACUCCUUUUUUUCUGACGGAGCCUCAUGACUGAUAGAAAUCCUGUCUCAGCGGCGUGGAUCCCCCCGGAUGCACUCGACGAUUCCCCUCAGCGGCGAGCUCCCUGAUGCACCGUAGCUUUGUUUACCACUACACAUGCGAAAUGAGCCAAUAGGACGACUGCUUUUCCUUCAGCGCUACAGGCAUCAGAAGGCAAUUUAAGGUGACCGUCCAGUACAAAUGAUGAAUCUCGUAAUCAUGGGCGGUGUCACGGUGUUCUCCGAAUGCGGCCGCGGCGUAAUGAGUCUCAAAGGGCCACUUGUUUCUCACACCCACUCGAAUGAAGACCAACGUCAUCAAUCUUGGAAGCGGCCGAGGAGAAGCCGACUCCUGUCGAAGCCGAGGAUGAGGGGCGCCGCUCCAACGGCGGCCGCCGAGCAGCGCCUUGUGCCCACACACACGCUGACAUGUGUGAAAUGGGUUCAGCGACCUUUGACCCCGGCCAUCCAGAUGUACUGCCAUCGUUGUGUGCAUGACUGUGUGAUCAUAUGUUUUCCUCUGUCUGACCUAAAUGCAAUCAUGUCUAGACACUUCUUUAUUUCUUUCUGCUUUU
Betta splendens (Siamese fighting fish) is the source of this 717-nucleotide long non-coding RNA. RefSeq lists it as uncharacterized. Lineage: Eukaryota; Metazoa; Chordata; Actinopteri; Anabantiformes; Osphronemidae. The record is from RefSeq and is a predicted model, not a curated record. The transcript is spliced from 3 exons.